RNAcentral lists this long non-coding RNA (1086 nucleotides) under Homo sapiens (human). RNAcentral describes it as "epigenetically induced MYC interacting lncRNA 1". The record is from RNAcentral. Lineage: Eukaryota; Metazoa; Chordata; Mammalia; Primates; Hominidae.
UGGGGAGGGGCCAGCUGCUGUGUUCAGUCCGCCAUUGCAAACACGAAGCUCUUCCAGAAACGCCCUCACAGACACCCCGGAAGUCACGUACCCACUCUGUAGGUGCCCCGGGGCACAGGCAAGCGGACGAGCCAGUUAUCCCUCAGAGCUCCUGCUGCCUCGCCCGCUUUCUCUCGGAAACGUGAAGUGUGGCCUCAGCUGAAAGUGAGGUGGGCCUCAUUCAAUCAGUUGAAUUCUUCAAGAGAGAAAAACUGAAGUCCCUUAGAAGGAAAGAGUUCUGCCUUCAGACUGUCUUUGAACUUAAGACUGUAGCGUCGACUCCUGCCGGAAUUUCCAGCCUGCUGGCCAGCUCUGCAGAUUCACACUUGCCAGCCUCCACAAUCGCAGCUGAGGCGGAGGAACCCUAAGGGCUCAUUGAGAUCAUGGAUUUGCCCUUCUAUGCAUUGAUGGAGCACCUGCUGCCCACAGCGUCUGUAUUUGGUGCUGGGAUGCUGAGGACACUGAGAUCUUCAAACAGAGGCUGCCACUCUAAGCAAACAGAUCCCGAGCCCUGGACUCUGAAGCUUGGGCCCAGUUCUCCUUUUCUCCGGGUUUCAGAUCCCACUGUGAAGUGAGGGGGCCCUUCUGAUUCAGGACCCGGGGAAGCCAGGGGCAUGAGCAUCGGUGCCUCUUCUCUAUUUCAAGGACCCUUCUGGGUGUAAAGUUCUCUGAGAUGCCUUACAUGGAUUCCCACCACUGCAAGAUAACCAUCGUAUGUAAAGUGUUAUGACCAGCAGAGCGUAAUUGAAGUGCAUUCCAGAGGGAAAGACAGCGGCUCAGAAAAGCGUGUGUAGCUGUGACAUAGUUCACAUUCCACAACCACUGAAGGGUUGAAACAUGAACUUGAAAGUAAAUAGCUUUGUGGAGAUUCACAUCGAGGAGCACUGUGCAGUCAUUCAGAAGAAUAAACUCCAGCUCUGCCCGGUGAUGGCAGGGGUGUUAACAAUGCAGUAUUGAGCUCAAAAAGUAACUUGCUAAAAGGUGUGUUUGAUGAAAUUUAUUUUUGCAAAACAAUUACACAGGAUAAAGCCUGCAUUUUUGUGUGUA